GCGGGCGUGGCGUAAUUGGCUAGCGCAUUAGACUUCGGAUCUUAGGGUUGCAGGUUCGAAUCCUGUCGUCCGCU
This 74-nucleotide transfer RNA is filed under the name Pseudoloma neurophilia. It matches the Rfam family "tRNA". From Rfam's summary of the family: Transfer RNA (tRNA) molecules are approximately 80 nucleotides in length. Their secondary structure includes four short double-helical elements and three loops (D, anti-codon, and T loops). Lineage: Eukaryota; Fungi; Microsporidia. The record is from Rfam by way of RNAcentral.